AUUGAACGCUGGCGGCAGGCCUAACACAUGCAAGUCGAGCGGUAACAGGGGAAGCUUGCUUCUCGCUGACGAGCGGCGGACGGGUGAGUAAUGUAUGGGGGAUCCGCCCGAUAGAGGGGGAUAACUACUGGAAACGGUAGCUAAUACCGCAUAAUCUCUCAGGAGCAAAGCAGGGGAACUUCGGUCCUUGCGCUAUCGGAUGAACCCAUAUGGGAUUAGCUAGUAGGUGGGG
RNAcentral lists this ribosomal RNA (232 nucleotides) under uncultured bacterium. RNAcentral's name for it is "partial 16S ribosomal RNA". It matches the Rfam family "Bacterial small subunit ribosomal RNA", at positions 30 to 257 of the family's 1533-position model. The record is from RNAcentral.